This 252-nucleotide ribosomal RNA is filed under the name uncultured bacterium. RNAcentral describes it as "partial 16S ribosomal RNA". It matches the Rfam family "Bacterial small subunit ribosomal RNA", at positions 524 to 775 of the family's 1533-position model. The record is from RNAcentral.
UACGAAGGGGGCUAGCGUUGCUCGGAAUUACUGGGCGUAAAGGGCGCGUAGGCGGACAGUUUAGUCGGGGGUGAAAGCCCAGGGCUCAACCCUGGAAUUGCCUUCGAUACUGGCUGUCUUGAGUUCGGGAGAGGUGAGUGGAAUGCCGAGUGUAGAGGUGAAAUUCGUAGAUAUUCGGCGGAACACCAGUGGCGAAGGCGACUCACUGGCCCGAUACUGACGCUGAUGCGCGAAAGCGUGGGGAGCAAACAG